UACGGAGGGUGCAAGCGUUAAUCGGAAUUACUGGGCGUAAAGCGUGUGUAGGCGGUUUAUUAAGUCGGAUGUGAAAGCCCUGGGCUUAACCUGGGAAUGGCAUUCGAUACUGGUAAACUUGAAUUUGGUAGAGGAAAGUGGAAUUCCGGGUGUAGCGGUGAAAUGCGUAGAUAUCCGGAGGAACAUCAGUGGCGAAGGCGGCUUUCUGGACCAAAAUUGACGCUGAGGCACGAAAGCGUGGGUAGCAAACAGG
This 253-nucleotide ribosomal RNA is filed under the name uncultured bacterium. RNAcentral describes it as "partial 16S ribosomal RNA". It matches the Rfam family "Bacterial small subunit ribosomal RNA", at positions 524 to 776 of the family's 1533-position model. The record is from RNAcentral.